Molecule: ribosomal RNA, 116 nt
Filed under: Shewanella morhuae
Lineage: Bacteria; Pseudomonadati; Pseudomonadota; Gammaproteobacteria; Alteromonadales; Shewanellaceae
Also listed under: 1 other name
Source: RNAcentral
CUUGGUGACAAUAGCCUUGUGGAACCACCUGAUCCCAUCCCGAACUCAGCAGUGAAACGCAAACGCGCCGAUGGUAGUGUGGGGUCUCCCCAUGUGAGAGUAGGUCAUCGCCAAGC